CAAAAUCGGAUGAUGGGGAGAGAAAGUGAAGAGAAAACAUGCCACUCCGAGGAUACCAAUCUUCACGUUUUGUUUCAUGAGGAAAAUGACUAAAGGUUUCUUACAACAGAUGGACCCAAGGGCCUGGAUGACGGAAAACUCCAGAGAAGGGACCUUGACUUUCUCUCCAUUAACCUAAUCACACAAGAUGAAGAGCCUCACUUCAGGAUCUGUAUAGCAGAGGAGGACGUGUAAGCUGUAAGGCGUUAAGUUCUGCCAGGAGGAUGAGACGAGUGCGCAGGUGUCGACGCCCCCACCGCCUCCACUUCAGCCUCCAUCGCUGGCCGGUCCUCGUCCCACGAGGAGGCUCUGCGAGGCGUCCCUGCUUUUGACGCCUUGCCACCACAAGGAUUGUGAGAACCACGACCUCCAGCCACCGUCACCAUUUGGUAGCCCCCCCCCGCCUUACCCAUCGGCAGGAUAUGCGCCCUCUUCAUCUGAAUUAUUCAAAGCAGGCGGGGGCCUACGCCAAAGAGAAUCACUACUGCAUACUUCAGUGUCUCAAUAAAUAUCUUAAACUUUAAUUUGGUCUAUCGAGUCUUUCAUGGUAGAAGUGGAGCUUCUCCCUAUUCCCCCUCCCACAAAUCCAUGAAAAAUGCACUUUUAUUGACUGUGGAAUUGGACUGUGUAACUAUUUUGUACACAAAUGUUAUAUGACUCACUCUUGCACCUUUAUUGCUAAUCACAGCUCCUUGUCUACCUUUACUGCACUGCCACUUAUAUGACUGAAUACUUAAAGCCCGGCCUCUGGACUGUACAACAAAGCUUUAGUAGUCUAUGCGGAUUGAACUGUGAAUUACUAUUGGUCUGGACUCUGUGCCACAUGGCUCUGUCUGUAAUUCAUCUUCUUAUUCCUGUACAUAGGUGUAACCC
Engraulis encrasicolus (European anchovy) is the source of this 912-nucleotide long non-coding RNA. RefSeq lists it as uncharacterized. The transcript has 4 exons. NCBI's taxonomy places the organism in Eukaryota, Metazoa, Chordata, Actinopteri, Clupeiformes, Engraulidae. The record is from RefSeq and is a predicted model, not a curated record.